This 139-nucleotide ribosomal RNA is filed under the name uncultured eukaryote. Its description in RNAcentral is "partial 18S ribosomal RNA". It matches the Rfam family "Eukaryotic small subunit ribosomal RNA", at positions 1299 to 1458 of the family's 1831-position model. The record is from RNAcentral.
UGGUGGAGUGAUUUGUCUGGUUAAUUCCGUUAACGAACGAGACCUUAACCUGCUAAAUAGGUGCGCGAGCCUUCGGGCCCGUAGUGCGUUCUUAGAGGGACAAACCACGGCUAGUGGUUGGAAGUUUGAGGCAAUAACA